This is a long non-coding RNA of Melospiza melodia melodia, 4577 nucleotides long. RefSeq lists it as uncharacterized. Lineage: Eukaryota; Metazoa; Chordata; Aves; Passeriformes; Passerellidae. The transcript is spliced from 3 exons. The record is from RefSeq and is a predicted model, not a curated record.
UGAGCCGGGAGUGGCGCCCCCUGGCGCCCGGCCGCGGCGGCGGCAGAGAACGGAAUUCCCGCUCCGGCCCGGAGCUCGCUCGCUCUGAAACGAGUUCGGUACCGGAAAGCUGAUGACAAGAACGGGGGGAAAGACUGGCCUAAAUUAUGUUCUGCCAUUCAGUCCUGUCCUUCAUUUCCUCUAUCUUGCCUUUUUUAUUUCACCUUAAACCACCACGCUGCUUUCACUUUAAAAGCUCAAAAAUAUCCAAUAUCUAUUUUACCCAAGAUGUGAAGAUAUUUGAAGGUGAUGAUCAGAAAAGACUGGAAUUCAUGACUACAGAAGAUUAUAAAUUGUUUGCUUAGGUACACUAGAUCAGGUACCUCCUAAUGGACAGGCAUUUGCAAGACACAGCUACAGGGAAUGGCUUCACACAGAAAUUUAGGAAGCGCAGGGAGUAGGACAGCUCAGUUGACAGACCCAGACCAUUUAUUCUACAUAGCCCAGAAAAAUAUUCAUGUGAAAAAUAUAAAAACAGAAAAUUACUUUAUGCCAUUAUAUCUUUUAAAAGUACAGAAAAGUUUGAUGAGAUUAUUUUAUUCAUGGCUUCAUGUCUAUAGAAAAGUAGAUGAGCCAUAAUAAAAGACCAGUUUCAAAACAAACAUUUUUAAAUUCAGCCCAGGAACUGGCAGGGAUGUUGAGUUCCUAAUAUUAGAUGGCAAUGACAUUGUGUAAACAAGGAGCAUGAGAAGAGAAAGUCCUAACCCCAUAGAGCUCCAGGAACUCAGAGAACCUCCAUAGUAUAAGGUGUAUAGUGUGUGAUUCCUGAUACUAAGGGCACACUGAAAUGCUUAACACACAUGAAAGCAAACUGAGAUGCUUGCAAGAAUUCCUAUUUACUUUCUUUUGACACUCUAAAUCAAAAUACCUUUAAAUUUGUAUCCAUGCAGUAGCAAAUUUGUAUACAAAAUGAAUGCAAAUUUUCUGUGAUAUAUGCAAUACCAAAACUGCUGAUUCCUUAAAAAAAAAUUUUCCACAAGAUUACUACCACAGCCUGUUCCCAGAUUUGUUACAUGGUAUGCAAACUCUGCACCCACUUAUACGCUUGUACACUGAAUGAAGUAUGGCUCACUUCAAAAAUACCUCCUUUUUACAUUGACUCAAUUUUAGUUGGUCCAGAUAAAGAAGCUGUUGAGAUAAUGGAAAAUUCCUCAUUACAGAGAAGAUCUGACUGUGCACAGGAAAAGAGAGCUCUCUGCACAGCCACCUCUCUCUACAUCUUCGAAGACUUUGGUAGUUUCACAUUGCGGAGGGGACUGGAGAUUUCUUUUUCUCAAACCCAUUGCAGACAGAAUGUGGGAAUAUAACAAACCUUUGUAUCACAGCUGAUCAACCAAAAAAAAACCCAAAGUCAUACAAUCAGUCAGUGCUCUAUAGUCUACUUAGAAAUGCUCUACACAUCACAGAUUACCUCUAUAUAAAGACAAGCCUCACCUCUCUAUGUAGUGGCCAGCACGUAUCCUCAUUCAGGGUAUUUUUGAAUGAGAAUUGAGAUGCCUAUACCAGCAGACCAGUAAAAUGAUUCUGCUGUUAUGACAGUAGGAACAUAAGCCCAAACAAAGGUAAAGAAAUAAAGUACAGUGCACUUGAAGUUAUGCAGGAUAAUCUCGGGAGUUUCUGUGAAGUCAAAAGAAAAAAAAAAUUUAUAACUUCUAUCUUAUUGUCACAAAGUAUUCUGUAAGCACUCAUGCUCCUUGGCCCAGUUUCUUCUCUUUCCAAUCUUGUUUUUCAAGUGGAGCUCCUUUACUAGUAAGCAUUCAUUUGAAUAGUCAUAGUAUGAGGCACAGCCUCUGAGCCAGCAAUUUCAUUCCUCUCCCUUCUGUGCAGAGUUUUUCCUCUGCAGGUUCCUAUCUCUGUCGGAUAUAAUACAAAUCACUCUAAUGGAUUAAACUCAAAAUGCUGCUCCCAUUUGGCACAGAGUGAGCUCUUACAGAACCCCAAAGCCAAAUGCAUGUUUUCCAAACAGAAGCAAUAUGCUACAAGGGCUUGGUUCAAGGUUCAAGCCUUAACACUAUCCUAGACUUCAAGGGACAAAGCAACGGGGCUCCUGCUGAUAAUUUUGGUAAAAUGGGAACAUGGACACCAGCCUCUGUGGAAAAUCCUCAGCAAGUGGGAAGGAACCUGAACUUCUUGCCUCUUCAAAGGAAGCCAUCAUCCAGAGAGGUGAGAUCACACCCAGCCGGUGUGAUGGCUGACUGCUGCCAAAAAAGGGAGGGCCCACCACCCCCUCUGCAGAGACCCAAUCCAGUAUGGGCACAUGGAGCUAGAUCAGCUUGCUGACUGGGGACAGUGAUUAGCCUUUGCUUCUUGUUUCAAGGGGUUAAUCUUCUGUGGAAUCAUCUGCUUGAUCGACUUGUGGUCACAUCUGAAUCCCAGCUCAGGGAAGCAGCCUGUGAGCACAGGGCUGUGGGGAAAGGGCCUGCUCCAUACCCAGCUUACAUUGUGAAAUUUCCCCAUAAGAAAAGCAUGAUCAGAGUCCUCAGCAUUAGACAGUGAAGGACAAAGAUGAGAGUCUCUACACAUUGCAAUUAAUGAGAUGAAUGAGUACCCAUUUUCCUAAAUGGCAAGCCUGCCAUUGAAAAUUAGGUGGGGAAAAUCAAUACAAUUUCUUGGAGGUUUAUAUUGCUUCAGAGUGCAUUAAUCCUCACCCUGGCAGUGAGAAAGUCUCCAUGAAAGAUUGUGUAGGAGGGAUGUGUGCUGCCCUGGAGCUGCAAAGUCCUUUGAACCUGCUGGAUGGGGUAGACAGGGCAGGGAGGUGAGGUAAGCCCUGAGGGGAGCAGGCAGCUGACAUGGUGAUCUCUCAACUCCACAAAGCCCGUGGAAGGGUUGCUGUGACCACAGUUCUUCAGUGGGCUUGCUCUGGCCACCAUAUCAUUGCCAGCCAACUCACAGUGUCCCUGGCAGGGUAGAACUAAUAAUAACUGAACUACAGCAAAUGUCAUCACUUCCCACAGCCCCUUCCCUACUGAGCCAGGCACUCAGAGCUUCAGCCCAACAGGGGAAAAGGGACAUUCCUCACCCAGUGUGAAUGCAAUCAAAACAUGUCACAGUACUUCUAAUUAAAUCCUACUUAAAAUUAUUGCCUCUGUAGAAUUGCCUGCAAGGAAAAAGCCCCAGAAUAACUCAGCUACCAUGUAAUUCAAUUCACCAUUGUUGUCUGUGACCAAUGCCAAACACAUCCGAGAAAACACCAUCACUGACAUAAAUUCCUGCAAUCGUAUGAACAAGCAGAAAUGUCUUCCUGACUGCACCUGGGAUUUGGCCAAUGAUACAUUAACCACCAUUAUAAUUUUCUUGUAGGUAGUUUAACCACACAGGCUUUCUGUAUUGAAAUAAUUAGGACUUUGGAGAUUCCCUAAACAAGCUCCCAUGAGAAAAGAUUUUCUGGGUAAGGUUUCUGGUAAAUUGCUCAGGCCAGAAUUUGAUUACAAUAUCUCUUGCAGUGACAGAAAGUUAAAAAUCACAAUGUAAUAUUGGAAAUGUAUCCCUUCAGCUGCAAAUGGGAUAUAUUAUGUGAUCUGCUGAUACUUGUUUCUUUUUAUCUACAUAGCCAAAUUAUAUGAACGUUAUGAAUCUUCUGUGCUGGCACUGACUGAUGAAACAUUUUGGAAAUUAUCUGCUCAUACACCUAUAUGCUUAGUACAACAGAAAGAUGGAAAUUUAACUGUAUUCGUUACUUUCAUUGACUUUUUUUCCCCUUAUGAAUCUAACUUUAGUUUUACAGGACUGGAUUCUGUGAAACUAAGGAGUACACUUGUGCUGCUGCAUGGGAAAUGCCUUGUUUUUAAUGAGUUGCCAACUUAAUGACCUGUGGGAUUUCAAAGUUCCUUUUUUGUUUUAAAGGAAAUGAUUAAUAUAUAUUCUGUCUUUAAUUAUAGUGCUAUAAUUGUGUGAAAGGAAUUCCAUUCAUUCUUUUCUUCAUUUAAAUGUCUUACAUUUGUGAAUGUUAGGCAACAUAUUCUCCUAAAAGUUCAGUCUGCAAAACAGAGAUAUAAUAUUAUUCACUCUCAAAUAUGAGAGUAAUGGGAGUACUGGUAUUCCUCAGUUUAGGGCAGAAUAUUUUGAUUGUUACUUUAAAAGGAUAGACAAGUUAUUUAAAUAAUUGCUUGACUAAAAUAAAAUGAAUUUAUAUGGAAAUAAAUACAUGGCUUCAAUUACCUAUUAAUGUAAUACUGCUCCUUAUUUUUUUACCAAAAGAAUGCUGCAAAACAGGAAAUGUUAUGUGUAUAUUUUUGUUGAUUCUGUAAAUGGUUACUAUAGCCCACUAGCAAAUGUCCUAGGAUAAAUUUGGAUAAUUGGUAAUUACACUUUAGAAAACAAAUCUUAAUCCUACUGCUCUGUCUCUAUAAUCUAAGGACUUUCUACUAACUCUGAAAAUUAUUCAUGACUUCAGUCUCCUGUUUUUGCCCCGUGUAAUUGGGAGAUCAGUUUUUACGGUUUUCAGGAGCUUUUGUAUGUGCUGCAUACAAAUCCCAUCCCUGUGACUCAGACAUUUUGAUCCUUUGAUUAUCAGCCAGAUAUUUUUCAACAACCUGUAA